This 506-nucleotide ribosomal RNA is filed under the name uncultured eukaryote. Its description in RNAcentral is "bacterial SSU rRNA". It matches the Rfam family "Eukaryotic small subunit ribosomal RNA", at positions 21 to 549 of the family's 1831-position model. The record is from RNAcentral.
UAGUUAUAUGCUUGUCUCAAAGAUUAAGCCAUGCAUGUCUGAGUAUAAGCUGUUGUACGGUGAAACUGCGAAAGGCUCAUUAAAUCGGCUAUUGUUUAUUUGAUGAAGGAAGCUAGACAGAUAGCCGUAGUAAUUCUAGAGCUAAUACGUGGAAAUGGCCCGACGCAAGGAGGGCUGUAUUUAUUAGGUACUGACUAACGCAUCGCUGGUGAAUCAGAAUAACUGGUCGGAUCGCCCCGCAAGGGGGGACGGAUCAUUCAAGUUUCUGCCCUAUCAACUUUCGAUGGUUGGGUAUUGGCCAACCAUGGUGACCACGGGUAACGGGGGAUUAGGGUUCGAUUCCGGAGAGGGAGCCUGAGAAAUGGCUACCACUUCCAAGGAAGGCAGCAGGCGCGCAAAUUACCCAAUCCUGACGCAGGGAGGUAGUGACAAAACAUACUAAUGCUGGGCCUUAUGGCGCAGCAAUUGGCAUGAGUACAACUUAAACCCGUUAACGAGAACCCAUU